Molecule: long non-coding RNA, 277 nt
Filed under: Panax ginseng (ginseng)
Lineage: Eukaryota; Viridiplantae; Streptophyta; Magnoliopsida; Apiales; Araliaceae
Description: long non-coding RNA (PGIN_LNC014511)
Source: RNAcentral
UUUCAAUUUCUGGAAAUUCCGAAAAUGAUUAAAAAUAAAAUGUCUGAUAUUUACAGAUGUUGAAGUACAGAAUAAGAGUCUUAGACUCCGUAAUUACCCGAUAAAACUGUCGGUACACCGACAAAUGUCAGACCUUAUAAAAGAAAGAAAAGGCUACUGUAAGAGCAUGAAUGAGAUAUUUGAAAAAUGUAUAAAAAUAUUUCAAGUAUAGAAUAGGAACUAAAAGUAUGAUCACUGUGAUUAUGUGAUUAGACUAUGUGCUGACUGUAAUAGACAG